RNAcentral lists this ribosomal RNA (467 nucleotides) under uncultured bacterium. RNAcentral describes it as "bacterial SSU rRNA". It matches the Rfam family "Bacterial small subunit ribosomal RNA", at positions 337 to 796 of the family's 1533-position model. The record is from RNAcentral.
UCCUACGGGAGGCAGCAGUGGGGAAUAUUGCGCAAUGGGGGGAACCCUGACGCAGCCAUGCCGCGUGAAUGAAGAAGGCCUUAGGGUUGUAAAGUUCUUUCGGUGAUGAGGAAGGCGAUUAAUUGAAGAGAUUAAUUGAUUGACGAUAAUCACAGAAGAAGCACCGGCUAACUCCGUGCCAGCAGCCGCGGUAAUACGGAGGGUGCGAGCGUUAAUCGGAAUAACUGGGCGUAAAGGGCACGCAGGCGGAUUGUUAAGUGAGGUGUGAAAGCCCUGAGCUUAACUUAGGAAUAGCAUUUCAGACUGACAAUCUAGAGUAUUUUAGGGAGGGGUAGAAUUCCACGUGUAGCGGUGAAAUGCGUAGAGAUGUGGAGGAAUACCGAAGGCGAAGGCAGCCCCUUGGGGAGAUACUGACGCUCAAGUGCGAAAGCGUGGGGAGCAAACAGGAUUAGAUACCCUGGUAGUCC